RNAcentral lists this ribosomal RNA (496 nucleotides) under uncultured bacterium. Its description in RNAcentral is "partial 16S ribosomal RNA". It matches the Rfam family "Bacterial small subunit ribosomal RNA", at positions 28 to 506 of the family's 1533-position model. The record is from RNAcentral.
GAUGAACGCUGGCGGCGUGCCUAAUACAUGCAAGUCGAGCGAACAGACGAGGAGCUUGCUCCUCUGACGUUAGCGGCGGACGGGUGAGUAACACGUGGAUAACCUACCUAUAAGACUGGGAUAACUUCGGGAAACCGGAGCUAAUACCGGAUAAUAUAUUGAACCGCAUGGUUCAAUAGUGAAAGACGGUUUUGCUGUCACUUAUAGAUGGAUCCGCGCCGCAUUAGCUAGUUGGUAAGGUAACGGCUUACCAAGGCAACGAUGCGUAGCCGACCUGAGAGGGGGAUCGGCCAAAGUGGAACUGAGACACGGUCCAGACCCCUAGGGGAGGGAGCAGUAGGGAAGUUUCCGAAAGGGGGGAAAGCCUGACGGAGCAACGCCGGGGUGGGGAAGAAGGUUUUCGGAUUGGAAAACUCUUUUAUUAGGGAAAAAAAAAUGGGUAAGUAACUAUGCCCGUUUGAACCGUACCAAAUCAGAAAGCCACGGCUAACUACGU